AGAGGAGCCGCCUGAGCAGGUAGACAGACGGAGAGACCCUUCGUGAAGAUCACAGCUUUAACAGAGGAACUAGAGGAAUAUACGACUUUACAGCGGAUUUAAACGGCCUGACAGCGGUGAAGAGACUAUUAUGGAAAUGCAAGAGGAAAACCAAAGGCCUGAGGACAGCCAGCUGAUUUCUGUCCCUCACAAGGAUACGAUCCGUCUGCUGGAGGUGUACGUCAAGCGCAGCCUCAGCCUGAACGACGGCUCGCUGGGAGAUAAGAGGGCCGGCAAGAAGGAGAAGUGGGUGACCAUGCCAAAAAGACAUCGGCGACAUUCCAGCGACCCGUCCCUUCACUUGGCCGAGGGGUUGAAUGACGGGGACAUCGGUGUGUUUUCUGUGGUUGAACCUCCGAAAAAUUUGCCCGAGACGUGUCCUGAAGAACCAGAAAAGCCCAAAAAGAAGAAAAAGAAGACCAAGAAACCCUCACUGUGGAAGAGUUUUGUUGGACUUUUCUCUCAGAAGAGCAGCAAGGACAAAGAGGACGACGAAGAGGAGGACAGCCCGCCAGAGAUGUCCGAGUCCACAGUCCCCACGACGCCCUUCCAGUCCACGACUCCGGUCACCUUACGCAAGAAAGCCAUGAAAAGGAAGUCCAUAAGAAGGAGGUUCUCAAAAAGACGGUUAUCUCUGAUAAAACCAAAUAAACCCGGUAAAGAUCUGAACCUCGAUGACAUCACUGGAGUGGAAGCUGUCAUCAGUGUGGAACCAACAUACUCUUAUUACGAGAAAGUGACAGAGGAGCUGGAAAAAAUAGUCCACGAGGUCAAAGAGGAAGCCAGACCUCUUUCAGAUGCUGAGAGACAACCCCACCCUGAACAACUUCUUCCAGCGGAUGACGUACUCUUCCUUCCAGAAGCUGGCCGAUGAUUACCUGCAGAAAGAAGCGUCGCCGACCCACAGUCCUCCCACCGUCCUCCCAACAGCACCGGAGCUGGUCAAACUGGCCUUCACGCUCGACUUCACGGCCAGGAUAGCCGGACUCUCCAGACAGAACGUCGGCCACAUCACUGGUCUGGGGAACCGAUAUCUACAGGACCGGUUUAAAUACAGUCAGGCCUGCACAGAUCACCCAUGGUCCGACAGUGAUGACUGAGAUGGCGGCGUGCAGAGACAAAGCUGCAAGUGAUGUCUUUCCUCUCAGUGCCACAGGUGUGGUUCAGAAUGUGUUGCAAGCAUAAGUUCCUCUUUACAAACUCUAGAAACAAGGCACUACAUCAGACAAGUUGUUAGCCGGGGAACAGGCACACAACUUGCUGCCAUUUUUAUUUGGUUUUUACUAUUUUGUGAUUGAAUAGUUUUGCUGCAACGGCAUGUUUACUGAGCACACAGCCUGGAAGGUUUGACUGUGUGAGUUUGUGUACAUAAGUGUUGACUUUCACAUGAAAGGUCAACGCAGAAACCGAGACCUUAGUAAGCCUUGUGCUAAAACAUGAUAUUGCAUGAGAAAAGCAACAUUUCAGAAUCACAACAGGUCAAUGGUUCUACAGGCAGCACUUUAAAUAUUACACUCUUUUUGCCAAAUUGAAUUGUGCACAUUGAUUUGUAGUGAUACAAAAGAGCAGUGCAAUAGCCUUUAAUGUAUAUAAGCUAGAAACUUUGCUAGUUUAAAAAAAUAAAAAAACUUUUUAUGUUUAGCUAAUUUAAAAUGUGACAAUGUUUGUUAUUGUGAAUGCUGGCAUUCAUGUUACGAACUCAAACAAAAUAAAAAAAAACUACUUAAUUUAAUAUUCAA
This is a long non-coding RNA of Amphiprion ocellaris (clown anemonefish), 1778 nucleotides long. The record is from Ensembl. NCBI's taxonomy places the organism in Eukaryota, Metazoa, Chordata, Actinopteri, Pomacentridae.